GGGGAAUAUUCCAGUAUAUUCUUUCAUCGCAGUCUACUGACCCUAAUACACCUGCGUAAUUUCACAUUGCAAGCCCUUCGUUCAUCCUCUGACUGGGGCCUCAGCUGGUCGGAGGCUUGGAUCCUCCGCCCAGUUGCGGAUCCUCCGACGCUUUGGUGUCGGAGGUUCCUCAGCCCGGCUGGGCCGGAGGUUGCUCGACCCGGCCACCCCGGGAGCUCCUCCUUGGCCUGGUCCAG
RNAcentral lists this long non-coding RNA (236 nucleotides) under Sorghum bicolor (sorghum). Its description in RNAcentral is "long non-coding RNA (SBIC_LNC002207)". Lineage: Eukaryota; Viridiplantae; Streptophyta; Magnoliopsida; Poales; Poaceae. The record is from RNAcentral.